UUUUCCAAGCAAAUGGUCUGAAGAAACAAGCUAGAGUAACCAUUCUAAUAUAGAAUAAAAUCGAAUUUCAACCCAAAGUUAUCAAAAAAGACAAGGAGGGGCACUUCAUACUCAUCAAAAGUAAAAUCUUCCAAGAUGUACUCUCAAUUCUGAAUACCUAUGCUCCAAAUGCAAGGGCAUCCACAUUCAUUAAUUAAACUUUAGUAAAGUUCAAAGCACACAUUGCACCUCACACAAUAAUAGUGGGAGACUUCAAGACAUCACUCUUAUCAUUGGAUAGAUCCUAGAAACAGAAUCUAAACAGAGGUACAUUAAAAAACUAACAGAAGUUAUGAAACAAAUGGAUUUAACAUAUCUACCGAAUAUUUUAUCCUAAAACAAAAGGAUAUACCUUCUUCUGAGUACCUCAUGGUACCUUCUCCAAAACUGACCAUAUAAUUGGUCAGAAACAGGCCUCAGCAGAUACAAUAAUAUUGAAAUUAUCCCAUGCAUCCUAUCAGAUCAUCACUGACUAAGGCUGAUCUUCAAUAACAACAUAAAUAAUAGUAAGCCAACAUUCAUGUGGAAGCUGAGCAACACUCUACUCAAUGAUAACUUGUUCAAGAAAGAAAGAAAGAAAGAAAGAAAGAAAGAAAGAAAGAAAGAAAGAAAGAAAGAAAGGAAGGAAGGAAGGAAGGAAGAAAGAAAGAAAAGAAAAGAAAGAAAAGAAAAGAAAGAAAGGGAUUAAAGACUUUUGAGAGUUUAAUAAAAAUGAAGCACUACAUACCCAAACUCAUGGGACACAAUGAAAGCAUUCCUAAGAGGAAAACUCAUAGCUCUGAGUGCCCCAAAAAGAAAUUAGAGAGCAUACACUAGCAGCCUGACGGUACACCUAAAAGUUCUAGAACAAAAGAAAGCAAAUUCACCUAAGAAGAGUAGAAGACAGGAAAUAAUCAAAUUUAAGACUGAAAUCAACUAAGUGGAUACAAAAAGAACUAUUCUAAGAAUCAACCAAACAAGGAGCUGGUUCUUUGAGAAAAUCAACAAGAUAGAUAAACCUUUAGCCAGACUAACAAGAGGGCACAGAGACAGUAUCCUAAUUAACAAAAUCAGAAAUGGAAAAGGAGACAUAACAACAGAACCCGAGGAAAUCCAAAACAUCAUCACAUCCU
This 1151-nucleotide long non-coding RNA is filed under the name Mus musculus (house mouse). Its description in RNAcentral is "long non-coding RNA chr17:22462154-22463305". The record is from RNAcentral. Lineage: Eukaryota; Metazoa; Chordata; Mammalia; Rodentia; Muridae.